GAUGAACGCUGGCGGCGUGCCUAAUACAUGCAAGUCGAGCGAACGGACGAUAAGCUUGCUUCUCUGAUGUUAGCGGCGGACGGGUGAGUAACACGUGGAUAACCUACCUAUAAGACUGGGAUAACUUCGGGAAACCGGAGCUAAUACCGGAUAAUAUUUUGAACCGCAUGGUUCAAAAGUGAAAGACGGUCUUGCUGUCACUUAUAGAUGGAUCCGCGCUGCAUUAUCUAGUUGGUAAGGUAACGGCUUACCAAGGCAACGAUGCAUAGCCGACCUGAGAGGGUGAUCGGCCACACUGGAACUGAGACACGGUCCAGACUCCUAAGGGAGGCAGCAGUAGGGAAUGUUAGGCAAUGGGCGAAAGCAUGACGGAGCAAGGCCGCGUGAGUGAUGAAGGUCUUCGGAUCGUAAAAAUCUGUUAUUAGGGAAGAACAUAUGUGUAAGGAAAUGUGCACAGCUUGACGGUACCUAAUCAGAAAGCAACGGCUAACUACGUG
This 497-nucleotide ribosomal RNA is filed under the name uncultured bacterium. RNAcentral describes it as "partial 16S ribosomal RNA". It matches the Rfam family "Bacterial small subunit ribosomal RNA", at positions 28 to 507 of the family's 1533-position model. The record is from RNAcentral.